UUGAUCAACUAAAGCCACUGC
Molecule: non-coding RNA, 21 nt
Filed under: Arabidopsis thaliana (thale cress)
Lineage: Eukaryota; Viridiplantae; Streptophyta; Magnoliopsida; Brassicales; Brassicaceae
Source: RNAcentral